AGAGGGUGCGAGCGUUAAUCGGAAUUACUGGGCGUAAAGCGUGCGUAGACGGUUACGUAAGUCGGGUGUGAAAGCCCCGGGCUCAACCUGGGAAUUGCAUUCGAGACUGCGAAGCUAGGGUGCGGAAGAGGGAAGCGGAAUUUCCGGUGUAGCGGUGAAAUGCGUAGAUAUCGGAAGGAACAUCAGUGGCGAAAGCGGCUUCCUGGUCCAGCACCGACGUUCAGGCACGAAAGCGUGGGGAGCAAACAGGAUUAGAUACCCUGGUAGUCCACGCCAUAAACGAUGACAACUAGACGUUGAGAGGGUAAGCCUCCCAGUGUCGAAGCUAACGCGAUAAGUUGUCCGCCUGGGGAGUACGGCCGCAAAGUNG
This 370-nucleotide ribosomal RNA is filed under the name uncultured bacterium. RNAcentral describes it as "bacterial SSU rRNA". It matches the Rfam family "Bacterial small subunit ribosomal RNA", at positions 527 to 896 of the family's 1533-position model. The record is from RNAcentral.